This 545-nucleotide ribosomal RNA is filed under the name uncultured bacterium. RNAcentral describes it as "bacterial SSU rRNA". It matches the Rfam family "Bacterial small subunit ribosomal RNA", at positions 775 to 1320 of the family's 1533-position model. The record is from RNAcentral.
CGAAUAGACUACCCCGGUAGUCCACGCCCUAAACGAUGUCAACUGGUUGUCGGGGAAGCAAUUCCUUGGUAACGAAGCUAACGCGUGAAGCUGACCGCCUGGGGAGUACGGCCGCAAGGUUAAAACUCAAAGGAAUUGACGGGGACCCGCACAAGCGGUGGAUUAUGUGGAUUAAUUCGAUGCAACGCGAAAAACCUUACCUACCCUUGACAUGUACGGAACUUGGCAGAGAUGCCUUGGUGCCCGAAAGGGAGCCGUAACACAGGUGCUGCAUGGCUGUCGUCAGCUCGUGUCGUGAGAUGUUGGGUUAAGUCCCGCAACGAGCGCAACCCUUGUCAUUAGUUGCUACAUUCAGUUGGGCACUCUAAUGAGACUGCCGGUGACAAACCGGAGAAAGGUGGGGAUGACGUCAAGUCCUCAUGGCCCUUAUGGGUAGGGCUUCACACGUAAUACAAUGGCCGGUACAGAGGGCUGCCAACCCGCGAGGGGGAGCUAAUCCCAGAAAGCCGGUCGUAGUCCGGAUUGUUCUCUGCAACUCGAGAGCA